CUCAAAAACUUCGUAAAAUUUUCUCGGCGUUUUUCCUAUUGUAGUUUUGUAGGAGAAGAUAAAUUAUUAUAGAAAUAAUGAAUUUAGUGACAGUAAUACACGUUCCCCUUAGUUACGAUAAGCUGUGUUUGUUUGUAGUGAAAUAAAAUGUAAAUCACUAUGAGUUCUCCGUCGGCCGUGGUUUGUCGCGAGAUUUUUGAUGAAAACAGCCAGCCCUCGGCUGAAGAAAUCUCAGAAUAUGCCCAACAGCUGGGCAUUGACCCUGAAAGCGAGAGCCACCUACUACCCUUGGCCAAAGAUGGCCUUAUGCAAGCCUUGCCUGCACCUUGGAAGGCUUACUUCGACGAGAAACUCCAAACACACUACUACUACAAUGAAGACACUAAGAGAACGCAGUGGGAUCACCCUCUAGACAAUGUUUACCGGGAGCUGGUUAAGAAGGCGCGCGACGCGUCCAUACACGACGACACUUGCGCUUCUGUGCAGGAACUCCUCACAUCGGAAGAGAACACGAAACAGCUCGAACGCGUCGAGACCAAAGUGGAAAGCGAUGAUGACGACCUCACAACAGACAGUGAGAACCAAGGGUCAGACGUUAAGGAGAACCCUACACUAGUACCGAAGCGCCUAGCUCCCUUAGGACGACCCCCACUAGCUCCAUCACUAAAUAGACUAGAGAGAAGAUUCGCAGAGCUAAAAAUAAAUUCUCUAAAACGAGGCGGUGAUGGAGAUGGUAUAUAUAAACCGCUAGUUAGAAAUACAUCAGAUCGAGAUAUUCUAAGCAGACCAUUGGAAAGACCAAAAAUGCUAUUCAAGCAGCAAUCAGAGAUAAUAGACUUGAAGAUGCAUGUGUUGACUAGUCCUGAAGAGGAGAAUUUUAGUCCUUUACUGAGUAGUGCCAAAAUUGAAAGGGGGUUGUCGUUGCAAGGUAAAGGCAACCAAUUCUUCCGUAUAUCCAAAUCAGACCUUCCGAGUCCUGAUACGGAAAAGUCUUUGCCUCUAGACUCUGCCACCAAGAGCGACCCACCCAAAGGGAUCCUUCGGGAGAAAUUUACAGACAGCUUUCAUAGAAAAGCUGACAGCUUUCUUCUUGGAAGGCCGAAGCAGAGUGCUAGUCUUGAUGAGGACAGGAAGAGUGUCAGAUUCAAGCUAGAAAAUCUACCAGAGCCGACAAUAAGUCCAGGCUCAAACAGCUCGUCGGAGCAAAAUGAGCAGAACUCCAUAGCAUCAGCGCCCUCUAUGCCUGCCCCCAUCCCCUCUUUACCAUCCCCGCUCAUCCCCUCCUCCCCGCUUGUCCCCUCAUCCCCCGUGUCAUCCCCGCCCGCCAUCAACCCUCAUACGAUAAUCUUGUCCCCGCUUGCUAGUCGACCACCACUACCUCCAAGGCCUGUUGAUAGUCCCAGAGAGGCGAAGAGUAUUUCGGGGUCUGAUAGAGAAUCUUUAGAAAGUGACCGCGGCACCUCCCCCAGGCGGCGCGUGGUUCGCCCCCCAGCAGCAGACUACAUCAAACCGGACCUCUUCCAGAAGAAUUUCCAGAAGAUAUCCGACUUAGUCCGCCCUGGAGACAUCGAGCCGGUUGACAGGGUCCAUCUUGAGGAACCCGUCGAUAAGGAGGUUAGGCCUAGAUCACCGAUGAUACCUCAACAGAAAAACAAAAUUUCUAUCAACCUGAUGGAAAGCAUAGAGUCUGAAACCUCCAUAGAUUCGCCUGAUAAGGAAUUUGUUAAUUUAGACCUGAACGAUCUUGACGAGUCUAACGAUACUAAUGAUCAGAAGAAAGAAGAAGACAAAGAGGAGAAUAAAGACAGUUCUAGACUGGAGGAUAAUUCUGACAAAACUAGCAAUUCUAAGACAUCGAUGUCUACACAGAAUAAGUCGCCGUUAGCAGAUAAUAUUUCAAUACCGCAAAUCAAAGUUCCUAAACUUGAUCUAGCUCAAAAACUGAAAUUACACUCGGAUUCCGACGACUCCAAGAAAGUUGAAGAGCCUAAAAUCUCCAAGUCAGAAAGCAUUGAAGCCAAACCGCCACAACUCAAAGUUUCUCCUACGCCCAGCUUAGGGUCAGAACUUAGGUCUCCCAGAUACGACUUCAAUAAACCUUGGUGCAGUCCUCUAUCCACAUUCAAGCCUUUAAACAAAGCUGUUAUUGCUCCUUUGAAAUCGUCAGAUUCGGCUUCAAGUCUCGGUAAAGGACUGACUAGUCCUAGAUUAGACGGAGUUAUACUAUCUCAAGGAAAGUCCAGUUCUGACAAUGUAGUUGUUGUGUAUCAAUUUGAAAAUGUAAAUCAAGAAGAAUCAUUUACAAAGCCUAUCAAAUCUCCAUUGAUCCCUGAUACUGCAGCUAGAGAUAUGAUAGAAAGGAAUAAAGUAGAUGAAAGAAGAAGAUUAGAGUUGUCUUUACAGAAAGAGUUAGAGACUAUAAGAGUAGAGUGGUGUGCCAAAGAAAGAAGAAUGAGAGCGGAGUUACAAGAAGAGUUGAGAGAGGCGGAAGAGAAGUUUUUGGCGGAGAAAAAGAUUAGGUUAUCGGAUCAAGCAGAACGGCACAAAAGAGAAAUGGAAGAGGCAUUAGAACUAGCAGAACGCAAUCACCAGGAUGCGAUACAAAGCUUUAAUAAGGAGAUGGAAGAGCGACGAAGGCGAGAUAUCGACACGGCGGAGCGGCGACACGCAGAAGACAUGAGGAAGCUUCAAGACCAGUUUCAAACUAGACUCGCUGACAAACGAAAAGAAUUUGAAAUAGAAAACGAGCGGGCGCUAUCUGAACUGACGGUACAAAUGCAAGCUAGUUUUCAUCGCGAGCGCACCCGCCUAGCCGAAGAGAACAGAGUGACCGUACAAGCGCUGCGAGAAGAACAUGCCGCUAGAAUUGCUGACCUUAGAACUGAUUACAGAGCUGAGGUGGAUCGGCUGCGCACACAGCACGCGUGCCACCUGGAGGAGCUGCGAGCGCGCCUGGCCAGCGAGCGAGCCGCGCCGCGACACGAGGAACGCGCGCUCGCUGACAAGUAUAAGUGCUUGAAGGAGAAGUACGCCCGGCUCAAACAUGAUGUUAAGAUGUCGAUAGAACGCCGGAAUAAACGGCGAGAAAUGAGCAUGACCACUGGAUCGGAGACUGAAAAAUCUAACUCACAUAAGGCUACACAGUCGCUUGAAAGAUGCAAAGAAUUGAAUGAGACAUCAGUAAGUGCGGUCAUAGAGCCAGAGCCAAGAGUUCGUGUGAACAACAACACGAACAAAUAUAACGACAACGAGACAUCACACUCUGAGAGCAAUGCACAGAAAUCUUAUGAUAACAACAACGACGACUGGCGACUGAGGAGAGAGAACACGGUUCCACCAGCGGCCGCAAGUCAGCCGCAAUCAAAGCGGCCUCAUCGCCGCGCGGCCGUGGCUUUCCGCGAGCCUCUAUCGCGGUCCCGCGAGCGCGACAGAGACGGAGGUUUGUAGACCAUAGGUGCUCUAACUUAUCUGGCCUACCGACCAUCCUUGUACAGAACCAUCCAUAACGACCGACUAUCAAGAUUCUUCUGACGCGACCACAGCAGAUGAGAAGCCCAAAGAACCUAUUAACGG
This 3573-nucleotide unclassified non-coding RNA is filed under the name Pectinophora gossypiella (pink bollworm). RNAcentral describes it as "uncharacterized LOC126373275". Lineage: Eukaryota; Metazoa; Arthropoda; Insecta; Lepidoptera; Gelechiidae. The record is from RNAcentral.